RNAcentral lists this ribosomal RNA (482 nucleotides) under uncultured bacterium. RNAcentral describes it as "partial 16S ribosomal RNA". It matches the Rfam family "Bacterial small subunit ribosomal RNA", at positions 30 to 507 of the family's 1533-position model. The record is from RNAcentral.
AUUGAACGCUGGCGGCAUGCCUUACACAUGCAAGUCGAACGGUAACAGGUCUUCGGAUGCUGCCGAGUGGCGAACGGGUGAGUAAUACAUCGGAACGUGCCCGAUCGUGGGGGAUAACGGAGCGAAAGCUUUGCUAAUACCGCAUACGAUCUACGGAUGAAAGCAGGGGACCGCAAGGCCUUGCGCGGACGGAGCGGCCGAUGGCAGAUUAGGUAGUUGGUGGGAUAAAAGCUUACCAAGCCGACGAUCUGUAGCUGGUCUGAGAGGACGACCAGCCACACUGGGACUGAGACACGGCCCAGACUCCUACGGGAGGCAGCAGUGGGGAAUUUUGGACAAUGGGCGAAAGCCUGAUCCAGCCAUGCCGCGUGCAGGAUGAAGGCCUUCGGGUUGUAAACUGCUUUUGUACGGAACGAAAAGACUCUUUCUAAUAAAGAGGGUCCAUGACGGUACCGUAAGAAUAAGCACCGGCUAACUACGUG